RNAcentral lists this ribosomal RNA (731 nucleotides) under uncultured bacterium. RNAcentral's name for it is "bacterial SSU rRNA". It matches the Rfam family "Bacterial small subunit ribosomal RNA", at positions 771 to 1501 of the family's 1533-position model. The record is from RNAcentral.
AACAGGAUUAGAUACCCUGGUAGUCCACGCCGUAAACGAUGAGUGCUAGGUGUUGGGGGGUUCCCCCUCAGUGCCGAAGGUAACCCAUUAAGCACUCCGCCUGGGGAGUACGGCCGCAAGGCUGAAACUCAAAGGAAUUGACGGGGGCCCGCACAAGUGGUGGAGCAUGUGGUUUAAUUCGAAGCAACGCGAAGAACCUUACCAGGGCUUGACAUCCCGCUGACCGCUCCAGAGAUGGAGCUUCCCUUCGGGGCAGCGGUGACAGGUGGUGCAUGGUUGUCGUCAGCUCGUGUCGUGAGAUGUUGGGUUCAGUCCCGCAACGAGCGCAACCCUUAUCGCCAGUUGCCAGCAUUUCGGAUGGGGACUCUGGCGAGACAGCCGGUGAAAGCCGGAGGAAGGUGGGGAUGACGUCAAAUCAUCAUGCCCCUUAUGUCCUGGGCUACACACGUGCUACGAUGGCCAGUACAAAGGGAAGCGAACCCGCGAGGGGGAGCCAAUCCCAAAAAACUGGUCUCAGUUCGGAUCGCAGGCUGCAACUCGCCUGCGUGAAGCCGGAAUCGCUAGUAAUCGCGGAUCAGCAUGCCGCGGUGAAUACGUUCCCGGGCCUUGUACACACCGCCCGUCACACCAUGGGAGUUGGGUUGACCCGAAGACGGUGCGCCGACCUCGCAAGAGGGGGCAGCCGGCCACGGUCAGUUCAGCGACUGGGGUGAAGUCGUAACAAGGUAACC